GGCUUCGAAUCCUCCUCUUACCAGAGAGCUGUCCGGGUCUGGAGCCCGAGACCCAAAGCAACCCCUGGGGGGCGCCCCCAACCCUUGGGGACGCUCCUCCUCCGGCUGCCCCCUUUCCUUUGAAUCCAGGUAUCUCUGGGUGAGGGGGGUGCGGGUAGGAGCUCGGAUUUCUGCUUUGGGAAGUUUUUACAAGCUGUUACGCAUCCUCCCACCCCACCCCCCCCGCGCCUUGAGUCCCUGAGCCAAGAAUUUCAGAAAUCCAGGGCACAAAAAAGCCAGUAUUUGCGGUCAAGGAUUAAAGGCGCGAGGUUGUCUUUAUUUAAUCUGCUCCAUCCUGCUCGGGUUUGCAUAGAAAACGAACUCUGGCAGGGAUGAUCUACGCAGGAGGGGACAUAGGCAAGUAGCUCGAGAGACCCCGAGCCGCGUUCGCCCCACAGGAGAUGAAGAAACGCUAGCCUCUCCGGUGCACAAAAAUAAAGGAGCCGAGUUGUGACUCGCCGGCGCGGAGAUUGGGAGGCAGAAAGUAAAUACAAACCGCGACCUAGGUCCUGACCCUUGCUUCAAGCAGCCCCUCUGCUCCCCGGAGCUGUAAAUGCUUAAGUAAAUAAACCGCAAGCCAGAAAAAUUAGGGCUUCGGAGACAGCUGCUGGCACGAUGUUGCGCGUUCAGGCGGGGCGCCCUCCGGCAGCCCCCGAUAACGGCGGCUGGGAUGAGAUGGGUUGCUGCCCCCUGCUAAAAUGUGCCUGGGCUCUUGGGCUGCAUGCUGUUUGGCUUUUGGAAGGAGGGCAAGGGCUAAGCAAAGAGGCAAAGUCAGUCGGCUGCUCUCCCUUCCUGAGAUGAUAGGCAUUCCUUACACAAACGUUUCCUGAAUGUCUUCUGGGUGCCAGGCACUGUGCCAGGCGCUGGGGCAUAGUGGUAAGCCUAAACACACCACAGCAUCCCAGAUAAGCACUGCCUGCCGUCCCACAUGGUGGCUAUAACAACAAUAGUAAUAAUAAUAGUUUGAGAGGCAGAUUUUACCGAACCCAGACCACAUGCACUUUUCAUGCAUCAUGCUAUUGAGUUUUAACAACCAUGGGCAUAUUAUCUCUAUUUGAUAGAUGGACGCCUAAAGGCUCAGAGAAAUCAGGUAAUUUCCCAAGAUGACACCGUAUAUUAAGUAGCGCAGCCUGGAUUCCAAUUCCAGCCUUAGUUCUUGUACUAAGUCCUUGUCUUUGGGGAAAUCCAUCACCACUGCCUUAAAUGGCCUCCUUCCCCAUUUUAGGAGCAGCCUCUGAGCCUUUGGGCAAGUUAUGUUCAUCUCGUUGCCCCAGUUUUGCCAUCUUGGAGAAAGUCAUUAGAACUUUGCCAACUUUGUAUCAGGAUUGCUUGACAGAAUUAAUGGUCUUAUGAAACUUGAGGAACAAAUUAGGGGAGCACCAGAACUAACAAUUAUUAUUCAUAAAAUAAUGCCAAAACUAAUAAUAAUUACUGACAUUUAUUGAGUACAUGGCAUGUGCCAGGCAUUAUUCUAAGCUCUUUGUGUGCAUUUUCUCAUCAAAUCCUAUUAACAAUUGUUUUUUAUUUAUGGGCAAACUGAGCCACAGAGAAUUUAAGCAAAGUCCUCCAAAUCACAUAGGUGAUGGGCUGUCUGACUCCAGAACCCUAGACAUUAACUACUAUCCUCCGCAGCCUCCCCAAUGAAAACAUAUGCAUUCAAGGCAUCUGCUCAUAUAAGCAUUUAAUACCAGCCCAGGAAUGGGCAAUGCUCAGAGCAGACAAAGUUUAUGUUCAUUGUAUUUACUCUUGCCUCUCCUCCCUUUCAGCAGUAGCCCUUUGUUACUGGGCACUAGAGCGUCAUGUUUAAUGCCUGAAGCUAGCACUCCCUAUCAUCAAGAAAUACCCGCAUCUUGUCACAACAAAAAGGUCCACACCUUUCCCAUCUGUCCCCUUUCUUCUUUUCCCCUAUGAAAACAAUUUGUUCUGUUUCUAAAGGGGUUUUGGCUCUACUUUUUCAAACAAAUUCAAUGAAUCACUCAUUAGUAUUAAAACUGGUAAAUGCUAAAGGGUAAUUAUUUCAGGUGCUUCUAACAGAAACAAUGGAAUUUUUUUAAGCUUAUUUACCUAUUUUGAGAGAGACAGAGACAACACAAAUGGGGGAGGAGCAGAGAGAGAGAGAGAGAGAGAGAGAGAGAGAGAAUCCCAAGCAGGCUUCACACUGCCGGUGCAGAGCCUGACACAGGGCUUGCACUCACGAAACUGCAAGAUCAUGACCAGAGCCAAAAUCAAGAGUUGGACGCUCAACUGACUGAGCCACCCAGUCACUCCAGAAACAGUGGAAUUUUAAUGUGGGUUUUCUAAAGAAAAUGUGGUCUUGUUUGAGAGCCAGUUACAUGGACACUUGACCCUUAACUGCUUUAUCCAGUCUUCCCUCCUAGACCACAACUUUCACUGAAGACAGGGAUCCUAUUUUAUUCGUACUUGUAUUCCCUCCUCCCCUACCCAGCAGGCCUAGUUCUCUGCACAUUUUAGUAGAU
Molecule: long non-coding RNA, 2516 nt
Filed under: Lynx pardinus (Iberian lynx)
Lineage: Eukaryota; Metazoa; Chordata; Mammalia; Carnivora; Felidae
Source: RNAcentral